GUCAAAGCGUUCAUUAAAGUCGAGUUGGCUUAGGGAUACGUUCGUUGGGUAGGGGAGCGUUCUGUAAGCCUGUGAAGGUGUGUCGUGAGGCAUGCUGGAGGUAUCAGAAGUGCGAAUGCUGACAUAAGUAACGAUAAAGCGGGUGAAAAGCCCGCUCGCCGGAAGACCAAGGGUUCCUGUCCAACGUUAAUCGGGGCAGGGUGAGUCGACCCCUAAGGCGAGGCCGAAAGGCGUAGUCGAUGGGAAACGGGUUAAUAUUCCCGUACUUGGUGUUACUGCGAAGGGGGGACGGAGAAGGCUAUGUUGGCCGGGCGACGGUUGUCCCGGUUUAAGCGUGUAGGUGUGUGUUCCAGGUAAAUCCGGUUCACUUUAACACUGAGGCGUGAUGACGAGGCACUACGGUGCUGAAGCAACAAAUGCCCUGCUUCCAGGAAAAGCCUCUAAGCAUCAGGUAACAUCAAAUCGUACCCCAAACCGACACAGGUGGUCAGGUAGAGAAUACCAAGGCGCUUGAGAGAACUCGGGUGAAGGAACUAGGCAAAAUGGUGCCGUAACUUCGGGAGAAGGCACGCUGACACGUAGGUGAAGUGAUUUACUCACGGAGCUGAAGUCAGUCGAAGAUACCAGCUGGCUGCAACUGUUUAUUAAAAACACAGCACUGUGCAAACACGAAAGUGGACGUAUACGGUGUGACGCCUGCCCGGUGCCGGAAGGUUAAUUGAUGGGGUCAGCGCAAGCGAAGCUCCUGAUC
This 751-nucleotide ribosomal RNA is filed under the name Salmonella enterica. Its description in RNAcentral is "partial 23S ribosomal RNA". It matches the Rfam family "Bacterial large subunit ribosomal RNA", at positions 1181 to 1913 of the family's 2925-position model. Lineage: Bacteria; Pseudomonadati; Pseudomonadota; Gammaproteobacteria; Enterobacterales; Enterobacteriaceae. The record is from RNAcentral.